AAUGAACGCUGGCGGCGUGCCUAAUACAUGCAAGUCGAGCGAACAGACAAUAAGCUUGCUCUCUUGACGUUAGCGGGGGACGGGCGAGUAACACGUGGAUAAGAAACUACUAAGACGGGGGGAACAUCGGGAGACAGGAGAUACUAACGGAGAAUAUAAUCAACGGCAGAGAUCAGUAGUGCAUGACGGCUUUGCUGACACAUAGAGCUGGUUCCGCGCCGGAUUAGCUAGUGGGUAAGGUAACGGCCUACCAAGGAAACGAUGCGUAGCCGAGCUGAGGGGGUGGUCGGCCACACUGGAACUGAGACACGGUCCAGACUCCUACGGGAGGCAGCAGUAGGGAAUCUUCCGCAAUGGGCGAAAGCCUGACGGAGCAACGCCGCGGGAGUGAAGAAGGUCUUCGGAUCGUAAAACUCUGUUAUUAGGGAAGAACAAAUGUGUAAGUAACUAUGCACGUCUUGACGGUACCUAAUCAGAAAGCCACGGCUAACUACGUG
Molecule: ribosomal RNA, 497 nt
Filed under: uncultured bacterium
Lineage: Bacteria
Description: partial 16S ribosomal RNA
Rfam family: Bacterial small subunit ribosomal RNA
Source: RNAcentral